RNAcentral lists this ribosomal RNA (253 nucleotides) under uncultured bacterium. RNAcentral describes it as "partial 16S ribosomal RNA". It matches the Rfam family "Bacterial small subunit ribosomal RNA", at positions 524 to 776 of the family's 1533-position model. The record is from RNAcentral.
UACGUAGGUGGCAAGCGUUGUCCGGAAUUAUUGGGCGUAAAGAGCUCGUAGGCGGUCUGUCGCGUCGGCUGUGAAAUCCCGAGGCUCAACCUCGGGUAUGCAGUCGAUACGGGCAAACUAGAGUAUUGCAGGGGAGACUGGAAUUCCUGGUGUAGCGGUGAAAUGCGCAGAUAUCAGGAGGAACACCGGUGGCGAAGGCGGGUCUCUGGGCAAUAACUGACGCUGAGGAGCGAAAGCGUGGGGAGCGAACAGG